This 1065-nucleotide long non-coding RNA is filed under the name Homo sapiens (human). RNAcentral describes it as "HSALNT0162515". The record is from RNAcentral. Lineage: Eukaryota; Metazoa; Chordata; Mammalia; Primates; Hominidae.
CAAGGCUGGAAAGUGGAGGGUGAUGAGGCUGCUGGGGCUGUGCCAAGAACCAGUGCAAGAGAGACAGUGACAGGAAGCCCUCUGCAGACCCGACAGCACCACACCGAGGAACAGCGACGAGUGGAUGCCCAGAAACUUACAUGGAAGCCUCAGAGCUCCCUGAAUUCUGGCCUCUGGAAGCCUCUCGAAACUUCAAGAAGCAGAGCUAGUCUGGAGGAGUUGAGACCCGAAUGUCAGAUAGCGACCCCAGAGAGAAGACUGUGGCCUGCAAACCUGCUCAUCAGAGGGCACACAGUCUGGCUCUGCCCUGACCUUGCACAGCAUGCAAGGCCCAUCCCACUGCUGCUCUACGGAAUCCCUGCUCUGCUUCUGCACUGGAGGUGGAAGCACCUCUUCCAAGAAGGCCCUGCUUCCACCACCGUGUUAGUGACAUGGCACCAGGGGAAAGAGUGGUCUGAGGAGAAAGGGAACCCUGACUUUGACACCAGCUCUGCUGCCAAGUACGUAAUUUGGGGUGAGGGACUUCACCUCUUUGACCUCAUUCUGAAUCUGGAAAUGGAGGUAAGAAUGCCUCCCUCCCAGAAUGGUUGUGAAGAUCCAAUCCACACUGUGUAUGAGACCGCUAACCCAGCAUGCAGCUUCUGGAGGUGCCUGGAAAACGGCAAUGCUCACCAUAUUUUUCUUCAUGCGCUUAAAGUCUCAUUUUAAGGCCCAAUAAAUUUUAGAAACAAUGGUGGAAGCAAAUGGGAACAACAAUACCCAUGAUCUAGGAAUACACUUGCGAAAGUUUCUGCUUAACAACUGAACCCAGAGCAAUCGCGGUGGAGAAAUUGAAACUCUUUCACCAUGAGCAGCUCAGCCCUGAUCCCAAGUCAAGUCUGGCCUAAUGGACAUACCAGGCAAUGAGGGUGAGGGUCCGUGACCAGGAGCAGAGCCCAGGACUGUCCAGUGGAAAUACAGCCCACACCAUAUAUGUCAUUUCAAAUCUUCUAGAGCCACAUUCCAAAAGUAGAAACGUGUGAAAGUAAAUUUUAACAAUAUAUUUUAUUAAACCCAGAAUGUCCA